AUUGAACGCUGGCGGCAUGCUUUACACAUGCGAGUCGAACGGCAGCGCGGGCUUCGGCCUGGCGGCGAGUGGCGAACGGGUGAGUAAUACAUCGGAACGUGCCCAGUAGUGGGGGCUAGCUCGGCGAAAGCCGGAUUAAUACCGCAUACGACCUGAGGGUGAAAGCGGGGGAUCUUCGGACCUCGCGCUAUUGGAGCGGCCGAUGGCAGAUUAGCUAGUUGGUGGGGUAAAGGCCUACCAAGGCGACGAUCUGUAGCUGGUCUGAGAGGACGACCAGCCACACUGGGACUGAGACACGGCCCAGACUCCUACGGGAGGCAGCAGUGGGGAAUUUUGGACAAUGGGCGAAAGCCUGAUCCAGCAAUGCCGCGUGUGUGAUGAAGGCCUUCGGGUUGUAAAGCACUUUUGGCGGGAACGAAAAGGACUGUGCCAAUACCACGGUUCGAUGACGGUACCCGCAGAAUAAGCACCGGCUAACUACGUG
RNAcentral lists this ribosomal RNA (484 nucleotides) under uncultured bacterium. RNAcentral describes it as "partial 16S ribosomal RNA". It matches the Rfam family "Bacterial small subunit ribosomal RNA", at positions 29 to 507 of the family's 1533-position model. The record is from RNAcentral.